RNAcentral lists this ribosomal RNA (434 nucleotides) under uncultured bacterium. RNAcentral describes it as "partial 16S ribosomal RNA". It matches the Rfam family "Bacterial small subunit ribosomal RNA", at positions 29 to 507 of the family's 1533-position model. The record is from RNAcentral.
AGCGAACGCUGGCGGCAGGCCUAACACAUGCAAGUCGAACGAACCUUUCGGGGUUAGUGGCGGACGGGUGAGUAACCCGUGGGAACGUGCCUUUAGGUUCGGCAUAACUCAGGGAAACUUGUGCUAAUACCGACUGUGCCCUUCGGGGGGAAGAUUAAUCGCCUUUAGAGCGGCCCGCGUCUGAUUAGCUAGUUGGUUGAGGUAAUGGCUCACCAAGGCGACGAUCAGUAGCUGGUCUGAGAGGAUGAUCAGCCACAUUGGGACUGAGACACGGCCCAAACUCCUACGCGAGGCAGCAGUGGGGAAUCUUGCGAAAUGGGCGAAAGGCUGACGCAGCCAUGCCGCGUGAAUGAUGAAGGUCGUAGGAUUGUAAAAUUCUUUCACCGGGGACGAUAAUGACGGUACCCGGAGAAGAAGCCCCGGCUAACUUCGUG